This 411-nucleotide ribosomal RNA is filed under the name uncultured bacterium. Its description in RNAcentral is "bacterial SSU rRNA". It matches the Rfam family "Bacterial small subunit ribosomal RNA", at positions 505 to 916 of the family's 1533-position model. The record is from RNAcentral.
GUGCCAGCAGCCGCGGUAAUACGUAGGGUGCAAGCGUUAAUCGGAAUUACUGGGCGUAAAGCGUGCGCAGGUGGUUAUAUAAGACAGAGGUGAAAUCCCCGGGCUCAACCUGGGAACUGCCUUUGUGACUGUAUAGCUAGAGUACGGCAGAGGGGGAUGGAAUUCCGCGUGUAGCAGUGAAAUGCGUAGAUAUGCGGAGGAACACCGAUUGCGAAGGCAAUCCCCUGGGCCUGUACUGACGCUCAUGCACGAAAGCGUGGGGAGCAAACAGGAUUAGAUACCCUGGUAGUCCACGCCCUAAACGAUGUCAACUGGUUGUUGGGUCUUCACUGACUCAGUAACGAAGCUAACGCGUGAAGUUGACCGCCUGGGGAGUACGGCCGCAAGGUUGAAACUCAAAUGAAUUGGCGG